RNAcentral lists this ribosomal RNA (253 nucleotides) under uncultured bacterium. Its description in RNAcentral is "partial 16S ribosomal RNA". It matches the Rfam family "Bacterial small subunit ribosomal RNA", at positions 524 to 776 of the family's 1533-position model. The record is from RNAcentral.
UACGUAGGGACCAAGCGUUGUUCGGAUUUACUGGGCGUAAAGGGCGCGUAGGCGGCUUAACAAGUCACUUGUGAAAUCUCCGGGCUUAACUCGGAACGGCCAAGUGAAACUGUCAAGCUAGAGUGCAGAAGGGGCAAUCGGAAUUCUUGGUGUAGCGGUGAAAUUCGUAGAUAUCAGGAGGAACACCAGUGGCGAAGGCGGCUUCCUGGACACUAACUGACGCUGAGACGCGAAAGCGUGGGGAGCAAACAGG